RNAcentral lists this ribosomal RNA (460 nucleotides) under uncultured bacterium. Its description in RNAcentral is "partial 16S ribosomal RNA". It matches the Rfam family "Bacterial small subunit ribosomal RNA", at positions 338 to 795 of the family's 1533-position model. The record is from RNAcentral.
CCUACGGGAGGCAGCAGUGAGGAAUAUUGGUCAAUGGGCGCAAGCCUGCACCAGCCAAGUCGCGUGAGGGAUGACGGUCCUAUGGAUUGUAAACCUCUUUUGUCGGGGAGCAAGGCCCGCCACGUGUGGCGGGAAGGAGAGUACCCGAAGAAAAAGCAUCGGCUAACUCCGUGCCAGCAGCCGCGGUAAUACGGAGGAUGCGAGCGUUAUCCGGAUUUAUUGGGUUUAAAGGGUGCGUAGGCGGAAGGUUAAGUCAGCGGUAAAAUGUCGGUGCUCAACACCGGCAUGCCGUUGAAACUGGUCUUCUUGAGUGAGCGAGAAGUAUGCGGAAUGCGUGGUGUAGCGGUGAAAUGCAUAGAUAUCACGCAGAACUCCGAUUGCGAAGGCAGCAUACCGGCGCUCAACUGACGCUGAGGCACGAAAGCGUGGGGAUCGAACAGGAUUAGAUACCCUAGUAGUC